Amblyraja radiata (thorny skate) is the source of this 202-nucleotide long non-coding RNA. RefSeq lists it as uncharacterized. The transcript has 3 exons. The record is from RefSeq and is a predicted model, not a curated record. NCBI's taxonomy places the organism in Eukaryota, Metazoa, Chordata, Chondrichthyes, Rajiformes, Rajidae.
GACAGGCAGAACUUUGUCCCAUGGAGAUGUCAAAGACACAGGUUUAAGAUGAGAGGAGAAAAGUUUAAAGGAGACUGUGCGGGGCAAGUUUUUUAGAGGCUGGUGGGUGCCUGGAACACGUUGCCAGGGGUGGUGGUGAAGGCAGAUACGAUAGAGAUUGCAUUUAAGAGGCACAUGUAUAUGAAGGGAAUGGAGGGUUAUG